CAGCAUACAAACUCCACACAACAGGGGCACUCCUGACCAGAAUCAAACCCACCCCAACAGAAGGCAGAAAUCUUUACACAUGGCUGUAAGAAAGACCACAGCAAACACAAGGUAAUGCAAAAGGACCUUUUAUUAAAAUACACUCAGUAACGUAGAAAUAUCUCCCGCAGCAGACCAGAGCGCAGUGAGAGAGAGACUGGCAGGAGCUCUUCAGAGAGAGAGAGAGAUACCAGGCUACUCCUUCACACCAGCAGCUCACUCUGCACUUCAGAGCAAGCAUUGGACAGUCCCACGACCACAUCCCGCCCCUUCCUGUCUGAAGUGCGCAGCGCCUCCAGCACUUCCUCUGAGAUGGGUGAGCGGGCCGGCCGACUGAACCCUGCUCCCCAGCCAGGAGCCUCCAGCUCAGGAAGGUCUGCAUAGGACAGGAUGGAGUCAGGGCUCCAGCUGUCAGAUGCCUCACUGUCCGAGGGUCGUUCAGCAGGGGAGAAUGGGUCCUGGGAGAGAUCUCCUGGACAUCGAGAGAGAGGUGUUAAUACAGACACACUGACUG
RNAcentral lists this long non-coding RNA (553 nucleotides) under Lepisosteus oculatus (spotted gar). RNAcentral's name for it is "lncRNA (ENSLOCG00000021455.1)". Lineage: Eukaryota; Metazoa; Chordata; Actinopteri; Semionotiformes; Lepisosteidae. The record is from RNAcentral.